CAAUACACCCAACUUUAAUACAUUAAAUUGUUUUCAUAACCUUUUGGUGAAAAUACCAUACUGAAAUACAGGUAAUGUAGCAAAUACUUAGAAUAGCCAUUGCAGUAAUGGCUAACUGUAAUAUAGAAAAAAGUAGUAGAUACCUGAAACAGCCUUCCAGCGUAAACUGUAAGGCUAACUGUGAUAUAGAAAAGGGUAGUAAGUACAAGGAAUAGCUUUCCAGUGGAAGCAGUAAAGGCUAACUGUCAUAGAAAGGAUAUUAGAUGCAUAGAAUAACCCUUCAGUGGAAGCAGUAAAGGCCAGGAGUGAUACAGAAAGAGUAGUAGAUACAAGGAAUAGCCUUCCAGUGGAAGCAGUAAAGGCUAACCAUGCCAUAGAAAGGUUAGAAGAUGCAAGGAAUAGCCUUCUAGUGCAAGCGGCAAAGGUUAUCAGUGAUAUAUAAAAGGUAGUAGAUACUUGGAAUAACCUUUCAGUAGAAGCAGUAAAGACUAACAGUGAUAUAGAAAAGUGUAGUAGAUACAUGGAAUAACCUUUUAG
Non-coding RNA from Pelobates cultripes (western spadefoot toad), 537 nucleotides. The record is from the annotation of a GenBank genome assembly. NCBI's taxonomy places the organism in Eukaryota, Metazoa, Chordata, Amphibia, Anura, Pelobatidae.